AGAGUCUUCUCAAGGUA
RNAcentral lists this transfer RNA (17 nucleotides) under Ambystoma rosaceum (Tarahumara salamander). RNAcentral describes it as "partial tRNA-Thr". The record is from RNAcentral. Lineage: Eukaryota; Metazoa; Chordata; Amphibia; Caudata; Ambystomatidae.